GACGAACGCUGGCGGCGUGCUUAACACAUGCAAGUCGAACGGAAAGGCCCUGCUUUUGUGGGGUGCUCGAGUGGCGAACGGGUGAGUAACACGUGAGUAACCUGCCCUUGACUUUGGGAUAACUUCAGGAAACUGGGGCUAAUACCGGAUAGGAGCUCCUGCUGCAUGGUGGGGGUUGGAAAGUUUCGGCGGUUGGGGAUGGACUCGCGGCUUAUCAGCUUGUUGGUGGGGUAGUGGCUGACCAAGGCUAUGACGGGUAGCCGGCCUGAGAGGGUGACCGGCCACAUUGGUACUGAGAUACGGCCCAGCCUCCUACGGGAGGCAGCAGUGGGGAGUAUUGCACGAUGGGCGGAAGCCUGAUGCAGCAACGCCGCGUGCGGGAUGACGGCCUUCGGGUUGUAAACCGCUUUCGCCUGUGACGAAGCGUGAGUGACGGUAAUGGGUAAAGAAGCACCGGCUAACUACGUG
Molecule: ribosomal RNA, 468 nt
Filed under: uncultured bacterium
Lineage: Bacteria
Description: partial 16S ribosomal RNA
Rfam family: Bacterial small subunit ribosomal RNA
Source: RNAcentral